GUUUAUAUAGUUUAUACAGAAUAAUAAUUUGUGGUAUUAUAGGUGAAAUUUUUUCUUUAAACC
Molecule: transfer RNA, 63 nt
Filed under: Eysarcoris gibbosus
Lineage: Eukaryota; Metazoa; Arthropoda; Insecta; Hemiptera; Pentatomidae
Description: tRNA-His
Source: RNAcentral